AUGGCCCCCGCAAUGAGGCCGGAGCAGGAGGCGAGCUGCAAGGCCACCGAGGACCACCGCUCCGAGUUCGACGCCGCCAAGCCGCCGCCCUUCCGCAUCGGCGACGUCCGCGCCGCCGUGCCGGCCCACUGCUGGCGCAAGAGCCCCCUGCGCUCCCUCUCCUACGUCGCCCGCGACGUCGCCGUCGUCGCGGCGCUCGCCGCCGCCGCGUGGCGGGCCGACAGCUGGGCCCUCUGGCCGCUCUACUGGGCCGUCCAGGGCACCAUGUUCUGGGCGCUCUUCGUCCUCGGACACGACUGUGGUCACGGGAGCUUCUCGGACAGCGGCACGCUCAACAGCGUCGUCGGCCACCUGCUGCACACCUUCAUCCUCGUCCCGUACAAUGGCUGGAGGAUCAGCCACAGAACGCACCAUCAGAACCAUGGCCACAUCGAAAAGGACGAGUCAUGGCACCCGAUCACUGAGAAGGUGUACCAGAAAUUGGAACCACGGACAAAGACACUGCGCUUCUCAGUACCGUUCCCACUGCUGGCUUUCCCUGUUUACCUCUGGUACAGAAGCCCGGGCAAGGAGGGCUCACACUUCAAUCCGAGCAGCGAUCUGUUUACUCCCAAGGAGAGGCGUGAUGUGAUCAUCUCCACCACCUGCUGGUUCACGAUGAUUGCGCUGCUCAUCGGCAUGGCGUGUGUCUUUGGCCUGGUACCUGUGCUCAAGCUAUACGGGGUUCCAUAUAUUGUGAAUGUCAUGUGGCUUGAUUUGGUGACGUAUCUUCACCACCAUGGUCACCAGGACCUCCCAUGGUACCGCGGCGAGGAAUGGAGCUACCUCCGUGGUGGCCUGACGACUGUGGAUCGGGACUAUGGAUGGAUCAACAACAUCCACCAUGACAUUGGCACCCAUGUCAUCCACCACCUCUUCCCCCAAAUACCUCACUACCACCUAGUAGAAGCAACCAAGGCAGCAAGGCCAGUACUGGGCAGAUACUACCGGGAGCCGGAGAAGUCAGGCCCGCUCCCAGUGCACCUCAUCACCGUCCUCCUCAAGAGCUUGAGAGUCGAUCACUUUGUCAGCGACGUGGGAGAUGUCGUCUUCUACCAAACCGACCCCAGCUUGAGCGGCGACAAGUGGACCGGAGCCGACAAGCAGAAGUGA
Molecule: ribosomal RNA, 1152 nt
Filed under: Triticum aestivum (bread wheat)
Lineage: Eukaryota; Viridiplantae; Streptophyta; Magnoliopsida; Poales; Poaceae
Description: partial small subunit ribosomal RNA
Source: RNAcentral